CAUGACUUGAGUUUUCUGAGUUCCACUCUCCUAAUCUCAAAACCUAUGAGGCAGCAAGAAGCUCAUUCAGUGAUUAUCAAACAUUACUCUCUGGUGCAUAGUUUAUGGCAAGAAAGAACCAAGGGACCUGCAUUCAAGAAGUGUGCCCAAAAAAGACUGAUACCAGCACACAGCUUAAGAGAUAUCCAGCGAAUGAGAGACAUUAGAUCCUACUGAUAACGGCUUUGAAGGAACAUUAAUAGCACCAACUCAGUAUCCAUACGGAAUGCAGUGGGGUACCUAAAGGUAUACAGGUCAUACACCAUGGCCUAAUGGAGG
Zalophus californianus (California sea lion) is the source of this 318-nucleotide long non-coding RNA. RefSeq lists it as uncharacterized. The record is from RefSeq and is a predicted model, not a curated record. NCBI's taxonomy places the organism in Eukaryota, Metazoa, Chordata, Mammalia, Carnivora, Otariidae. The transcript is spliced from 3 exons.